RNAcentral lists this ribosomal RNA (229 nucleotides) under uncultured bacterium. RNAcentral's name for it is "partial 16S ribosomal RNA". It matches the Rfam family "Bacterial small subunit ribosomal RNA", at positions 568 to 796 of the family's 1533-position model. The record is from RNAcentral.
UGCGUAGGCGGUUUGAUAAGUCAGAGGUGAAAGCCCACAGCUCAACUGUGGAAUUGCCUUUGAUACUGUUAGACUUGAAUCAGGUUGAGGUUGGCGGAAUGUGGCAUGUAGCGGUGAAAUGCAUAGAUAUGCCAUAGAACACCAAUUGCGAAGGCAGCUGACUAGACCUGUAUUGUCGCUGAGGCACGAAAGCGUGGGGAGCGAACAGGAUUAGAUACCCUGGUAGUCC